RNAcentral lists this ribosomal RNA (253 nucleotides) under uncultured bacterium. Its description in RNAcentral is "partial 16S ribosomal RNA". It matches the Rfam family "Bacterial small subunit ribosomal RNA", at positions 524 to 776 of the family's 1533-position model. The record is from RNAcentral.
UACAGAGGGUGCAAGCGUUGUUCGGAAUUAUUGGGCGUAAAGGGCGCGUAGGCGGUGCGGUAAGUCUGCGGUGAAAUCUCCCGGCUCAACUGGGAGGCUGCCGUGGAAACUGCCGUGCUUGAGUGUGGGAGAGGUGAGUGGAAUUCCUGGUGUAGCGGUGAAAUGCGUAGAUAUCAGGAGGAACACCGGUGGUGUAGACGGCUCACUGGACCGUAACUGACGCUGAGACACGAAAGCGUGGGUAGCAAACAGG